RNAcentral lists this ribosomal RNA (786 nucleotides) under Triticum aestivum (bread wheat). Its description in RNAcentral is "partial small subunit ribosomal RNA". Lineage: Eukaryota; Viridiplantae; Streptophyta; Magnoliopsida; Poales; Poaceae. The record is from RNAcentral.
AUGGCGCUCCUACCUCGGCGGUUUCUGUUCGGAGUUUGCGCUGUAGUGCUGGUGAUCGGCCUCGCAAACUCUGUGCACGGCGAGGCGGCGCCGGUCGUGGUCGGCCUGGCCAGGUGCUCGGACUGCACAAGGAAGAACAUGAAUACCGAGGCAGCUUUCAAAGGUCUCCAAGCCGCUGUCAAGUGUAAGAAUGGCGAGGGCGAGUACGAGAGCAAGGCCGCGGGGCAUGUGGACAAUUCCGGCGCCUUCAGCGUCCCCCUGAACGUGGGCCUCGUCGGCGAUGACGGCGAGCUGAAGCAGGACUGCUUCGCGCAGCUCCACAGCGCGUCUGGUGCGCCGUGCCCCGGGCAAGAGCCCUCCAAGAUCAUCGCGGCACGGCCCGGCCGCGACGGCCAGACGACUUUCGUGGCGCUCGCCGGCGAGGUGCACCGACCGUUGGCUGAAUGCGCCUCGGCGUUCUUGUGCCAUCCUCUGCACAAUCACCACCUGGCCGUCUUCCACAAGCCCGUGAUUGUCCGUCCCAAGCCCGAUCAUUACCAUGAUCAUGACCACGAUCAUGGCCACGAUCACGAUCAUGAUCAUCACCACGACCAGGAUCUCCCGCCUGCUGUCAACAAGCCGCCAACGACGCCGGUGUACACGCCGACGAUGCCAACCCCCACGCCGAUCUACCAUCCCACGGCCCAGCGUGACGCCGUCACGGAGCCACAGCUCUUCAAGAAGAUGCUCCUGUUCCUCAAGAAGCUACCGUUCUUCCCUCCUGCCAAGCAGAGCGGCAAGCCGUAG